This 700-nucleotide ribosomal RNA is filed under the name uncultured bacterium. RNAcentral describes it as "bacterial SSU rRNA". It matches the Rfam family "Bacterial small subunit ribosomal RNA", at positions 8 to 701 of the family's 1533-position model. The record is from RNAcentral.
AGAGUUUGAUCAUGGCUCAGAUUGAACGCUGGCGGCAUGCUUUACACAUGCAAGUCGAACGGCAGCACGGGAGCUUGCUCCUGGUGGCGAGUGGCGAACGGGUGAGUAAUAUAUCGGAACGUGCCUUGUAAUGGGGGAUAACUAGUCGAAAGAUUAGCUAAUACCGCAUACGCCCUGAGGGGGAAAGUAGGGGAUCUUCGGACCUUACGUUAUAAGAGCGGCCGAUAUCUGAUUAGCUAGUUGGUGGGGUAAUGGCCUACCAAGGCUUCGAUCAGUAGCUGGUCUGAGAGGACGACCAGCCACACUGGAACUGAGACACGGUCCAGACUCCUACGGGAGGCAGCAGUGGGGAAUUUUGGACAAUGGGCGCAAGCCUGAUCCAGCCAUUCCGCGUGAGUGAAGAAGGCCUUCGGGUUGUAAAGCUCUUUCGCAAGGGAAGAAAACUUACACAAUAACACUGUGUGAGGCUGACGGUACCUUGAUAAGAAGCACCGGCUAACUACGUGCCAGCAGCCGCGGUAAUACGUAGGGUGCGAGCGUUAAUCGGAAUUACUGGGCGUAAAGCGUGCGCAGGCGGUUUGGCAAGUCAGAUGUGAAAUCCCCGAGCUCAACUUGGGAACUGCGUUUGAAACUGCCAGACUAGAAUAUGUCAGAGGGGGGUAGAAUUCCACGUGUAGCAGUGAAAUGCGUAGAGAUGUGG